UGAAUUUGCUUUAACCACACUGAAAAUCGAGGGAUUGUUUGAUGGAAGAAGUGUUUGUGUGCUUGUCAAGGCCGUAUGAUCCUUUUUAUUAACAGGCGAUUUACUGAUGGAAUUCUCUGUUAAUGAAGAGGAGAGGGGUUUGGCAAGCAUGGAAGCAGUCUGAUUCUUCAAUCCCUUUUGAUGUGGAAAACCUUGGCCCUUCACUGAGAGCAAACUUCCCCUGUACUUCUGGUGAAAUGUUUGUGUUUUCUUUUCAUUUUGUUAGUUUUCUUCUAGGUACUUGUAUCUUAAUACCAUGUAAAAAUGCAAAGAGAUCAGUUUUAAUGCUCAAAAUUCUUUUUUUUGGUUAGUAUCAUUUGGUUGUAGUGGUGAUAAAUGUGUAGAAUUAUUGAUACGAAGUCGAUCUCGAAGAUGAAUUUUGGAAGGGUGGAAAAUGAUUUAAUUUUGGUUGAUAAUCAUGCCAAAUCAUAAAAAGGUUGAUUAUUUUCUCCGUGUAAGAAUAUGAUUAAGAACCCCCCACCUAGAGAAAUUUACCUCUUUAUCCCUGGUAAAUAAUGCCAUGACAAAUGUCUUCUUUUUAGUUUUGCAUACUGCGUGUAUAACUUUUUCUAUUUUAAUUGUAGUUUCACCCUGAAGAUUGAAAAUUUAAAGUCCCUCAGUUGUCUUCAAUAUUCACCUAUGAAAUCAUGUUAUUUUUACCUUUUCUUUCUCAUACUGUCCCAUUUGUUUUCCUCUCUCUCCCUCGCUUUCACCCUCAGGUUGUACAUCUUUCCUUGUAUGAAAUUUUUGGAGUACAAAUCAGCACGUACGCUCCUUUUUUGUAGUCAUGUAGGAAUUGAACUUGGGAUGCAGCGUUACAAUCAUCAACCACUAAACCAAUAAUGCCCAAGCCCAUAUUUGCCGUCUGCUUCCAGAAGUGCUAACUAAGUCGUCCAUCCUAGGGCAAUGAGAAACCCUAAAUUCUUUUCUCUUCGUUCUCCCAAAAACCUUAUAAGGUCGAGGCGCUCAUGCCCUUCCCACAUUGCCAUUUCGUUCAUGUUAUUUCCAUUUUAUCUGCAGGUUGUAAUUUACCAACACUCUCCUUGGUUUUUCCUCUAAAUCGCAACUAUCUAUGGUGCUUUUAACAAUGGAUUAUCUUCAUUUGAAUGUUUUUGGCAUAAUUUUGAUGGAAGUUCUCACUUUUAUAUAUCGCACUCUUCCUUUGAUCAUAAUCGCAGUAAUGGUGUUUUUAGCAGCGAUUCCUAUGAAGAGAUGCUACAUUAAUUAAUAAUUUCGGGACUUUAAUGGACACGAGAGUCUUGAUCUCUUUGCAUGGACCCUCGCUUUUCUCGUAGGUCCCACAUUUUCUCUUGCUCUUUCUCUCUCUAAUGCUUUUACCUAGUUUAAUCUUUCAGACCCUUUCCUUUCCCUUUUUUCUCUCUAAUUGUCUCUCUAGAUGCUUUUGCCCAGAGAAAUAUUGACUGGAGUUACACAAUGAUGACUGAAUUUGCUUUAACCACACUGUUAAUGAAGGGAAUGUUGAUGGAAGAAGUGUUUGUAUGCUUGUUGAGGUCGUAUGAUCCUUUUCAUUAACAAAGGAUUUAUUGAUUGAAUUCUCUGUUAAUGAAGAGGAGAGGGGUUUGGCAAGCAUGGAAGCAGUCUGAUUCUUCAAUCCUUUUGGAUGUGGAAAACCUUGGUCCUUAACUGAGAGCAAAUUCUUCCUGUACUUUUGGUAAAGUGUUCGUGUUUUUUUAAAUUUUUUAGUUUUGUUCUGGGUGCUGGUAUGUUAAUUCCAUUAAAAAAUGCAAAAUAGAUCAGUUUUAAUGCUUAAAAUUCUUUUUUUUUUGGUUAGUAUCAUUUGGUUGUGGUGGUGAUAAAUGUGUUAGAAUUUUUGAUAUGAAGUCCAUCUCGAAGAUGGAUUUUGGAAAGGUGGAAAAUGAUUUAAUUUUGGUUGAUUAUCAUAUCAAAGCAUAGAACGGUUGAUGAUUUUUUCCUUGUAAAAAUAUAAUUAUGAACACCCCACCUAGAGAAAUUUACCUCUAUAUCCCAGGUAAAUAAUGCCAUUACGAAUGUCUUCUUUUUAGUUUUUCAUACUGCGUAUAUAUCGUUUUCUAUUUUAAUUGUAGUUCACCCUGAAGCUUGAAAUUUUGAAGUCCCUCAAUUGUAUUCAACUUUCACAUAUGAAAUCAUGUUAUUUUUGUCUUUUUCUUUCUCGUACUUUCCCAUUUCUUUUCCUCUCUCUCCGUCUCUUUCCCCGUCAAGCUGUACAUCUCUGCUCGUUUGAAAAUUUUGGAGUACAAAUCAGCAUGUACGCUCCUUGUUUUAGUUUUGGUAAGAAUCGAACUCGGGAUGCAGUGUUACUUUCAUCAUCCAAUGAACCAAUAAAGCCGAAGCCCAUGUUUACCGACUGCUUCCACCAGCACUUUCUAAGCUGUAUCCAAGGGCAAAGAGAUACCCUAAUUUCUUCUCUCUCCGUUCUCCUUGAAACCUUAUAAGGUCGAGGCGCUCAUAUGCUUCCCCUCACCGCAUUUCAUCCAUGUUAUUUCCAUUUCCUCGGCAUGAUAAAUUUCGUUGUAAUUUACCAAUAUUUUCCUUGGUUUUUUCUCUGAAUCGUAGCUAUCUAUGGUGUUUUUAACAAUGAUAUAUCUUCAUUCGAAGUUUUUUUGCAAAUUAUUGAUGGAAAUUCUCACUUUUAUUUAUCGCACUCUUCCUCUGAUUAUAAUCACAGAAACAGUGUUUUUAGAAGUGAUUCAUAUGAAGAGACGCUAUUUUAUUUCAUAAUUUCGGGACUUUAGUGGACACGAGAGUCCUGAUCUCUUUGCACGGACUGUCGUUUUUCUUGUAGGUUCCACAUUUUCUCUUGCUCUUUCUCUCUCUAAAUGCAUUUACGUAGUUUAAUCUUUCAGGCCCUUUCCUUUCCUUUUUUUCUCUCAAAUUAUCUCUCUCUAGAUGCUUUUGCCUUGAGAAAUAUUGAUUGGAGUUGCUCGAUGAUGACAGAAUUUGCUCUAACCACACUGAAAUUGGAGGGGUUGUUGAUGGAAGAACUGUUUAUGUGCUUGUUGAGGCCGUAUGAUCCGUUUCAUUAACAGAGGAUUUAUUGAUGGAAUUCUCUGUUAAUGAAUUGGAGAGGGGUUUGGCAAGCAUGGAAGCAGUCUGAUUCUUCAAACCCUUGGGAUGUGGAAUACCUUGGCCCUUCACUGAGAGCAAACUCCUGCUCUACUUCUGGUAAAAUGUUUGCGUCUUUUUCAUUAUAGUUUUCUUUUGGGUGUUGGUCAAUUAAUACCAUUGAAAAAUGCAAAAUAAAUCAGUUUUAAUGCUCAAUUUUUUUUUUUUGUUAGUAUCAUUUGUUUGUGGUGGUGAUAAAUUUUUUGAAUUUUAGAUAUUAAGUCCAUCUCGAAGAUGUAUUUUGGAAGGUUGGAAAAUGAUUUAAUUUUGUUUGAUUAUCAUGCCAAAGCAUAAAAAGGUUGAUGAUUUUUUCCUUGUUAGAAUAUGAUUAUGAACAUUCCACUUAGAGAAAUUUACCUCUAUAUCCCUGGUAAAUAAUGCCAUUACGAAUGCCUUCCUUUUAGUUUUGCGUACUGCGUGUAUACCUUUUUCUAUUUUAAUUGUAGUUUCUCCCUGAAGAUUGAAACUUUGAAGUCCCUUAAUUGUCUUCAAUUUCACAUAUGAAAUCUUGUUAUUUUUACUUUUUCUUUCUCAUACUGUUCCAUUUCUUUUCCUCUCUCUCUCUCUCUCUCUCUCUCUCCGUCAGGCUGUACAUCUUUGCUUGGAUGAAAUUUUUGGAGUACAAAUCAGCAUGUGCGCUCCUUUUGUAGUUCAGGUAGGAUUCGAACUUGGGAUGCAGUGCUACAUUCAUCAUCCAUUAAACCAUUAAAACCGAAGCCCAUAUUUACCGAUUGCUUCCCCCAGCACUAUCUAAGCCUUCCAUCCUAGGCCAAAGAGAAACCCUAAUUUCUUCUCUCUCCAUUCUUCAAGAAACCUUAUAAGGUCAAGGCGCUGAUGCCCUUCCUCUCACCGCAUCCCGUCCAUGUUAUUUCUGUUUUUUCUGCAGGUUGAUUUUCGUUUAAUUUACCAACAUUCUCCUUGGUUUUUCGUCUGAAUCGAUGCUAUCUAUGGUGUUUUUAACAACGAUUUAUCUUCAUGCGAUUUUUUUUCGAAAACUUUUGAUUUAAAUUCUCACUUUUAUAUAUUGCACUCUUUCUUUGAUCAUAAUCGCAGUAAUGGUGUUUUUAGCUGCGAUUCCUAUGAAGAGAUGCUACAUUAGUUCAUAAUUUCGGAACUUUAAUGGACACGAGUGUCCUGAUCUCUUUUCACGGACCCUCGCUUUUCUCGUAGGUUCCACAUUUUCUCUUGCCCUUUCUUCAAUCCCUUUGGAUGUGGAAAACCUUGGCCCUUCACUGAGAGCAAACUCCCCCUGUACUUCUGGUAAAUUGUUUGUGUUUUCUUUUCAUUUUGUUAGUUUUCUUCUGGGCGGUGGUAU
Molecule: long non-coding RNA, 4459 nt
Filed under: Amborella trichopoda
Lineage: Eukaryota; Viridiplantae; Streptophyta; Magnoliopsida; Amborellales; Amborellaceae
Description: long non-coding RNA (ATRI_LNC005025)
Source: RNAcentral